Molecule: ribosomal RNA, 253 nt
Filed under: uncultured bacterium
Lineage: Bacteria
Description: partial 16S ribosomal RNA
Rfam family: Bacterial small subunit ribosomal RNA
Source: RNAcentral
UACGUAGGGUGCAAGCGUUGUCCGGAAUUAUUGGGCGUAAAGAGCUCGUAGGCGGUUCGUCGCGUCGGCUGUGAAAUCCCGAGGCUCAACCUCGGGUCUGCAGUCGAUACGGGCGGACUGGAGUUCGGCAGGGGAGACUGGAAUUCCUGGUGUAGCGGUGAAAUGCGCAGAUAUCAGGAGGAACACCGGUGGCGAAGGCGGUGGUCUGGGCCGGCACUGACGCUGAGGAGCGAAAGCGUGGGGAGCAAACAGG